UACGUAGGGUGCAAGCGUUAAUCGGAAUUACUGGGCGUAAAGCGUGCGCAGGCGGUGAUGUAAGACAGAUGUGAAAUCCCCGGGCUCAACCUAGGAACUGCAUUUGUGACUGCAUCGCUGGAGUGCGGCAGAGGGGGAUGGAAUUCCGCGUGUAGCAGUGAAAUGCGUAGAUAUGCGGAGGAACACCGAUGGCGAAGGCAAUCCCCUGGGCCUGCACUGACGCUCAUGCACGAAAGCGUGGGGAGCAAACAGG
RNAcentral lists this ribosomal RNA (253 nucleotides) under uncultured bacterium. RNAcentral describes it as "partial 16S ribosomal RNA". It matches the Rfam family "Bacterial small subunit ribosomal RNA", at positions 524 to 776 of the family's 1533-position model. The record is from RNAcentral.